RNAcentral lists this transfer RNA (73 nucleotides) under Clostridia bacterium. RNAcentral's name for it is "tRNA-Glu". It matches the Rfam family "tRNA". Rfam says of the family: Transfer RNA (tRNA) molecules are approximately 80 nucleotides in length. Their secondary structure includes four short double-helical elements and three loops (D, anti-codon, and T loops). Lineage: Bacteria; Bacillati; Bacillota; Clostridia. The record is from RNAcentral.
GUCCCCGUGGACAAGUCGGUCAAGUCGUAGGCCUUUCAAGCCUAUACCGCCGGUUCGAGCCCGGCCGGGGAUA